UCAUGCACGAGUCAUUAUGAUCUAUUUUUGCCUUUCAAGUACUAAAAUUGGCUCUUUCAUUCCACUUUGAAGAUAAGACCCGAAAGUAACAACAGUGCUACGUUGAUUUAGGGCUUUCUUUUGGUUUACACGUUGAAUUUUCUCCUUACAUCUUGUUAUUUCACGAUGGAGUUGGAGUUUUCUAUUGAGUGAGUUGUAUGUGAAGCCUAAAACAUCUCUGUUACAUCAUAAAGUAGCAGUUAUAUAAAUAGUUUUCAGAUAUGCAUCUCUUUGCAUCUUCUGUUAUGAGGAUCUUCAUUCUUGGUCUUUCAGUUUCAGAAAAUUGAAGAUCUUUUUCAAAGGAAAGAACAAAUUAGAUCUGGCCUUGAUAGCAUGUGAUAUCUCUCUGUGCAUGCAGUAUAAGAAGAUCAGGGCAAGUUUGAGGCUCCAAUCCCAUCUCAAGAGAACUUCAUUUUGCCAAAUUAAGUGAUGAGUGGUGAUCCUGGUAUUUCAGCAUUUCCAGAGGCUGAUAACAUGUUCUCCUGGGUUGGUACGAUAAAUGGUGGAAAAAAUACUGUUUAUGAGGGAUUGGUAUAUAAACUUUCUUUGCGUUUCCCAACAGAGUAUCCGUUCAAGCCUCCUCAUGUGAAAUUUGAGACAGAUUGCUACCAUCCAAAUAUUGACCAGCUAGGAAACAUCUGACUUGAUAUUCUUCAGGAUAAAUGGUCAUCAACAUAUGGCGUUUGAACUGUUCUUUUAUCUUAUCAGAGCCUUUUGGGAGAACUUAAGAAGAAUAUGCUAAAGCAUUAUAAGGAUGCUGGUGGUCAAUAAUUUUAGAUUCCAGCAUGAUGCCAUCAAUUUAACAAAUUAUUCUUUUUAUAUGAUGCCAUCAAUUGUUUGAAGAUGUUAUCUAGGUCAUUUUUUCAUGGAAUUUAUAAUAGCUUGGAAGCUGCAAAUGGGAGCAUAUAUGUGGAAAUUCAGAGAAUCUUGUAAAGAAAUCAAGAAAAAUCUGUGAAAGAUAUGUUUGAUCGCUUGACUUGUGAACAUGUUAUAGAACAAAUAGAUGGAACUACACAGAAGAUCAAAUUGAUUCGGUAGCAGGAUCGCCACCCCCCCUCUGCAUGGACAAUGGUGGCAUUAUAUAAUAUAUAAUAUCAGUAAACAAAGCAAUGAUUCAUCCAAGAACAAUAACCCUAAGGUUCCUGACAAAGGUUUGUAGGCUAAAAACAAGAAGAUUGUCAUAAAUAAUAGACAUGCACAUCAAGAGCGGACCUUAAAGAUGUUUGGAAGGGCAUGAUAUAAAAGAAAGACAACGUUUGACAGUCCAUUUAUUAGGUAUCUAAGGAGAUGCAACGAAAAUGAAGCCCUAGAUUAUAAGGAUCAACAUUCUAAAGGAAUAAAAGUUCUUAGAGAUCACAUGGACAGUGAUAAGACUAAGAUAAUAGUCAUGGACAGAGGUCUCUUGCUCACCAAAAGAUAGAAGCCAAAGAUCAAUGGCAAAAGCUUUUAGAGUAAAAUAUAAACAUUAUAUGUCAUUAUGGCAGUGGUAGAACAAAAAUACAAUCCUAUUGCUAGUGUGAAUGACCAAUUUGAACUUGGUUACAA
This is a long non-coding RNA of Cryptomeria japonica (Japanese cedar), 1584 nucleotides long. RefSeq lists it as uncharacterized. The record is from RefSeq and is a predicted model, not a curated record. Lineage: Eukaryota; Viridiplantae; Streptophyta; Pinopsida; Cupressales; Cupressaceae. The transcript has 4 exons.